UUUCAUUUUGUGGAUUAGUCCUCCUGUAGGCCUUGCACAGGUGAAGAUCCUGGCUGCAUCUACUUAAUUUGACAGGCAAUGGGGAGCUCUUGAAUAUUUGUGUGCAGAAGGCUGGAGGUCACAGAUGUAUGAUAUACUUAGUAAGUGCUGGGAGCAGAAAGAAGGGAGAUCUAUCAGAAAAGAGGGAACAAGGGAAGGAGGAAACAGGAGAUCUACUCCAUUACGCUAGCAGGCGGAAGAGGACGGAGAACUGCGAUGGGAGGUCAGACGGACCACGCUCAUCCAGGGGUUUAUUGCCCAAAAUGAUGUUCAAGACCUCUCACAUCAGCAGAAGAACAAAACGACUAUGAGAAUUACACCUGUCAGAAGACUGGUCAGAGCAGCAAACUUUUCAAGGCAAAAAAAUAAUGAUGGUAGUGAUAGUGCUGGAUUUCUAAUGGUCAAUGAGAUGCAUGUUUGCUGAAUUCAACAUCUGGGCAUGCCCUUUGCAGAUCGUAUGGAAGAGGAAUGAGCCCCAGAGUAGGACAGGAAAGACUGAGAUUCAGAGCCAAUGUCUCUGCUUGUGGGUCACCCUGGCCAUGUCACAAGCCUGUUAAAUGUGUUCUCUCCACUAUAACCACAAAUAUCAGAACCCUCUCUGUCUUCAUCAAAGAGCUGUUGCAAAUUUAAGCUAAGAUGGAUAUGUAGUUUCUUAUUUAAACAGAGAGUAUUUUUGGAUUAUUGAAAAUAUUCUAACCCUGUUAAAAGGAAAAGCUUGGUUCAAAUUGUAUAACCUCUAUUAAAGAUUUCAUAUACUGCACAUUAAUUGUAUUUCAAAAUAAGUAAUAAACCACAAGGUCUAAUUGAUGAGCUCUAUUGAUCAGAGAACUACCUUAUAAAAGAUUCUGUGAUGAGUUAGGGCUUUGGGGCCUAGGAACUAAUAGGCUAGAAAAGUGAAUUUGGCAAAAUUUGUAUUUUAGCUCCAUAUUUAAAAAAUUAAAGAGAAAUGAAGAUAUAUACCAGUAUUCUUCCAUUCACAACAACAACAACAAAUGAUCCCUGGACAGUUACCUGCUCUUCCUAUGUGCCCAUCCCUGGUGAAUGGUACCUCUAACACCUAUAAUAAUCUAUAAGCCAGAAACCUAGAUUGAUCUUUGGUCUCUCCAUUUGCCUUUCUGUCUAGUCUACCAAAUAUCCAAUUAGUUCUAUAUCCUAAACAUCUUUAAAAUCUACUCCCUCUGCUUUUCCCUCUGCCUUAUACUUUAUGAGACCACGGUGUUAUUUCCUCAAGAACUUUACCCAACCAAUUUCUACACAUCCUGGGCUUUCUCCCUCAUAUAUACUCUUUUGUAAAAGCCAG
Molecule: long non-coding RNA, 1339 nt
Filed under: Cercocebus atys (sooty mangabey)
Lineage: Eukaryota; Metazoa; Chordata; Mammalia; Primates; Cercopithecidae
Description: lncRNA (ENSCATG00000045607.1)
Source: RNAcentral